ACUCCAGCGGGAGGCAGCAGUGGGGAAUUUUGGACAAUGGGCGAAAGCCUGAUCCAGCCAUGCCGCGUGCAGGAUGAAGGCCUUCGGGUUGUAAACUGCUUUUGUACGGAACGAAACGGCCUUUUCUAAUAAAGAGGGCUAAUGACGGUACCGUAAGAAUAAGCACCGGCUAACUACGUGCCAGCAGCCGCGGUAAUACGUAGGGUGCAAGCGUUAAUCGGAAUUACUGGGCGUAAAGCGUGCGCAGGCGGUUAUGUAAGACAGUUGUGAAAUCCCCGGGCUCAACCUGGGAACUGCAUCUGUGACUGCAUAGCUAGAGUACGGUAGAGGGGGAUGGAAUUCCGCGUGUAGCAGUGAAAUGCGUAGAUAUGCGGAGGAACACCGAUGGCGAAGGCAAUCCCCUGGACCUGUACUGACGCUCAUGCACGAAAGCGUGGGGAGCAAACAGGAUUAGAAACCCUAGUAGUCCCA
RNAcentral lists this ribosomal RNA (471 nucleotides) under uncultured organism. Its description in RNAcentral is "partial 16S ribosomal RNA". It matches the Rfam family "Bacterial small subunit ribosomal RNA", at positions 335 to 797 of the family's 1533-position model. The record is from RNAcentral.